CUGGAGUUACUAGUAAUCGCAGAUCAGAAUGCUGCGGUGAAUGCGUUCCCGGGUCUUGUACACACCGCCCGUCACACCACGGGAGUUGGAGACGCCCGAAGCCGAUUAUCUAACCUUUUGGAAGAAGGCGUCGAAGGUGGAAUCAAUAACUGGGGUGAAGUCGUAACAAGGUAGCCGUAUCGGAAGGUGCGGCUGGAUCACCUCCUUUAUAAGGAGA
Molecule: ribosomal RNA, 217 nt
Filed under: Clostridioides difficile
Lineage: Bacteria; Bacillati; Bacillota; Clostridia; Peptostreptococcales; Peptostreptococcaceae
Description: partial 16S ribosomal RNA
Rfam family: Bacterial small subunit ribosomal RNA
Source: RNAcentral